This 615-nucleotide ribosomal RNA is filed under the name Lasiodiplodia theobromae. Its description in RNAcentral is "LSU rRNA". It matches the Rfam family "Eukaryotic large subunit ribosomal RNA", at positions 28 to 658 of the family's 3401-position model. Lineage: Eukaryota; Fungi; Ascomycota; Dothideomycetes; Botryosphaeriales; Botryosphaeriaceae. RNAcentral also lists the same sequence under 1 other name. The record is from RNAcentral.
CUGAACUUAAGCAUAUCAAUAAGCGGAGGAAAAGAAACCAACAGGGAUUGCCUUAGUAACGGCGAGUGAAGCGGCAACAGCUCAAAUUUGAAAGCUGGCCCUUUUAGGGUCCGCAUUGUAAUUUGUAGAGGAUGAUUCGGCGAGGGCUCCUGCCUAAGUCCCCUGGAACGGGGCGUCAUAGAGGGUGAGAAUCCCGUAUGCGGUAGGUUGCCUUAGCCAUGUGAAUCUCCUUCGACGAGUCGAGUUGUUUGGGAAUGCAGCUCUAAAUGGGAGGUAAAUUUCUUCUAAAGCUAAAUACCGGCCAGAGACCGAUAGCGCACAAGUAGAGUGAUCGAAAGAUGAAAAGCACUUUGGAAAGAGAGUUAAAAAGUACGUGAAAUUGUUGAAAGGGAAGCGCUUGCAACCAGACUUGUCCGCAGUUGCUCAGCCGGUCUCCUGACCGGCGUACUCUUCUGCGGCCAGGCCAGCAUCAGUUCGGGCGGUCGGAUAAAGGCCUCGGGAAUGUGGCUCCUCUCGGGGAGUGUUAUAGCCCGGGGUGCAAUGCGGCCAGCCUGGACUGAGGAACUCGCUUCGGCAAGGAUGCUGGCGUAAUGGUUGUAAGCGGCCCGUCUUGAA